This 384-nucleotide ribosomal RNA is filed under the name uncultured bacterium. RNAcentral's name for it is "bacterial SSU rRNA". It matches the Rfam family "Bacterial small subunit ribosomal RNA", at positions 28 to 416 of the family's 1533-position model. The record is from RNAcentral.
GACGAACGCUGGCGGCGUGCUUAACACAUGCAAGUCGAGCGGUAAGGCCCUUCGGGUACGACGAGCGGCGAACGGGUGAGUAACACGUGGGUAACCUGCCCUGUACUGUGGGAUAAGCCUGGGAAACUGGGUCUAAUACCGCAUAUGACUUCACUGCGCAUGUGGUGGGGUGGAAAGUUCUGGCGGUACAGGAUGGGCCCGCGGCCUAUCAGCUUGUUGGUGGGGUGAUGGCCUACCAAGGCGACGACGGGUAGCCGGCCUGAGAGGGCGACCGGCCACACUGGGACUGAGACACGGCCCAGACUCCUACGGGAGGCAGCAGUGGGGAAUCUUGCGCAAUGGGCGAAAGCCUGACGCAGCGACGCCGCGUGAGGGAUGACGGCC